GCCGGCGUAGCAUAGUGGUUAUUGCAUCUCCUUCGUAAGGAGAGGGUCGGCCGUUCGAAUCGGCUCGUCGGCU
RNAcentral lists this transfer RNA (73 nucleotides) under Bigelowiella natans CCMP2755. RNAcentral describes it as "tRNA-Thr for anticodon UGU". It matches the Rfam family "tRNA". Rfam says of the family: Transfer RNA (tRNA) molecules are approximately 80 nucleotides in length. Lineage: Eukaryota; Cercozoa; Chlorarachniophyceae. The record is from RNAcentral.